GGAAAUAGAAAUUGAAUCUCACCGACUCAGUUUGCCAUACCCAGAUUUCUCUUCUUUCCCUUCCCCGAGAAGACAGAAACUUCCCUUGACUGUGAAGGGGAAGGUCACUUAGAUCCCUUUUGAUGGGGAACCCCUCCGCAGUAGAGGAUUAGGCAGAGGAGAAUGGCCGCAUGACCUCUCAGAAGGUCUAAAUUCAGCCCAGCAAAAAUUCUGAUUAACUCCCAUUGAAGGCGAUACAUUUGUAUCUUUACCCCUUUAAAUGAAGUUGACAUUGUGGGAUUUUUGAUCAUCAGAAUGCAGCAGAAGUAACAUUAUGAUAUUUCUAAGUCUUUGCCUCAGAAGACCUCACAGCUUCUGCUUUUAUUGGAACCUGAGACUACAAUGAAAAACCAUGUAGAGAGAGAUCCAGCUGUCCCACGUCUUCUAGCCAUUCCAGCUGGGGCUCAUCCAUGAACAUGGAUGAAUCUGGAGAACAUCAUUCUCAGCAAACUGACACAAGAACAGAAAAUGAAAUCCUGCAUAUUCUCACUCAUAGGCGGGUGAUGAAAAAUGAGAACACAUGGACACAGCUAAUAUAUUCACCCAGUAGCAUCCGGGCAUGGAAUUGUUGUUUGGGAAAACAACUGGGACUGUUUUCCUACUCUGAGAAGAUGUUUUGGAGCAGCUUCGAACAGAAGUUAUACGAGGCAGCUAUCCAGCAUCCAUACCAUUAAAGUAGACUUCCCCUCGUAACAUUAAGGUCAGUUUCCCUGCAAAAGCCCCUCCCUUCAAUGUGAGGGGAUGGAGGACAAGACUCCAUCAUCUGGUAUCUCUAACUGUAAGAGCUAGCAAGGUACCUGAUCUCUGGGAGCUAUGGAAAGAAUACAUGCUGAGUGAAUGUGUUACUGAAUAACCUCCCAAACUUGCUGCAGACUCCUGCUCUUGUGGAAAGAUAAAAAAAAAAAAAAACCCCUCAUCAUCUUUUAUAUAUGUUGGUGAAGGGGUGUGCCUCUGGGUGUGAGUUUAAAAAUAUAACUAACUGAAUCUCCAAGGUGUAUUCAUGAGGAAUCUGAGAUUAAAUGAAGCCCCAGUUUUCCAUACUUUAAAAAAACCAACUGCUUUAAAUUUUUAGCUGAGAAAGCGAUACUAUUUACAGAGAUUGUGCUUCUACUAACAGCCUUGCAUUUGUUGUUAAAAUAGGACCCUCUAUCAUUUUCCCUUAGUUAAUAGCUGUCAUGUAUAAAAUUACCACAAAUAAAAGAAGGAGGUGGAAUAUAAAUGUUCAGAGGCAACACAGCAUGGUAGGCAGAGGUGAGAAAGGAGGUUGCAAACAUUUGUGUGGUUCCCCAGAGGGCGAGGAAUGUACAGCAAGUCACAUCAGGAGCCUAGCGGCUGCACUGUCCAUAAACAUUUGUAUAUACAUGUGUGUAUAUUAUUUUUUCUUAGAGGUAUAAUACUUUAGAAUCCUUCCGAUUAUGUACAGGCUUCUGCUACUCAUAACUUAAAAUACCAUGCAUCUUUUUGCUGCAUGUAGCUAUGGCUGGGCAAUUACUGCAAAACCUUCCUCAGCUUCCAGCCUCUUCUAUCAUAAAGAAAUCUGAUUUCAAUAAGGAAGAAAGGACAAGCUAGACUGGGAGUUUCCCAGGUGAGGAAGCAAAUUAGUGGGAAAGGAAAAGGAUAUCUUCUGGCUCCAGAAAUGGAAUCAUUCCCCUCCAAAAGUGCAAUCAGACAGCUAUCAGUAUGGACAGUGGGAGCUAAUAAAAAAUUUUAAUCAGAAAAGAUGCAUAACUGUACUUGCUUUCGGUGAAGGUCCAGAGAACUACGAUGUUGGGGAUACAUUAGAGAUGCUGGGCAUAUUUUCCUCUGACACAAAAGUGAUAGGAAAGAGUUGAGGAGAAUAUAUUGAGGGGCUAUUUAGACAAUACCUAGGGAGGGAUUAGAGAGAGAUUUGAAGAAAGGUGUCUAGAUUACUCUCAGAUUUGAGCAGCCCGUCGUAUCAUGGAGUCAGUACUUACCAUAUUUGUCUACUAGUCUAAUGAGCCUUCUAUCACAUUAUAUAAUGCCUAUUCUGACAUCUCAUUUACGAAUCUCAGAUGAAUCACUCAGUCCUUUUGUACUUCUUCAUCAUCAGGUAAGAAAGGUCAGCACUCUUAAAUUACUCUCCCUACUUCCUACCCCAAUUCCAUUUCCCAAACUAAAGUAAGGUGGGAAUCCUUAAUCAACAUUAUGCAAUCAAUAGAAUUAGGUAAUCUCAUAACUGUGAGUGCUCCAUCUCAGCAAAUCUAGGAAUGAGGAGGCAUGGAUCUCUAGGU
RNAcentral lists this long non-coding RNA (2291 nucleotides) under Callithrix jacchus (white-tufted-ear marmoset). RNAcentral describes it as "lncRNA (ENSCJAG00000058892.2)". Lineage: Eukaryota; Metazoa; Chordata; Mammalia; Primates; Cebidae. The record is from RNAcentral.